CCUAGAAAAUAAUACUAGGUCAAGAAUCAUUGUUUCAAUCAGUGCGCUACUGCUGGUUGAACUAGUAACGUCAACAUAACAUCGUAAAUAUUUGACUAUUUGUGAGACCCCAGAUAGUCAUAUAUAUAAUAUAUAAUAAGGCUAAGACUCUUAAGUUGGCUAAAGUAUUUUGGCUGGUGGUUAGGUCCAAGAGAGUUAAGCAUACUAGAAUAGGAGUAGUCCUAAAAUAGAUGACCCGCUCGGGAGUUCCG
RNAcentral lists this long non-coding RNA (251 nucleotides) under Ananas comosus (pineapple). RNAcentral's name for it is "long non-coding RNA (ACOM_LNC011779)". Lineage: Eukaryota; Viridiplantae; Streptophyta; Magnoliopsida; Poales; Bromeliaceae. The record is from RNAcentral.